CCAAAGGCUCUUUUUUAGAGCCACCCAAGUUGUCAAAGAAAAGAGCU
Oryctolagus cuniculus (rabbit) is the source of this 47-nucleotide non-coding RNA. The record is from Rfam. NCBI's taxonomy places the organism in Eukaryota, Metazoa, Chordata, Mammalia, Lagomorpha, Leporidae.